RNAcentral lists this ribosomal RNA (589 nucleotides) under uncultured bacterium. Its description in RNAcentral is "partial 16S ribosomal RNA". It matches the Rfam family "Bacterial small subunit ribosomal RNA", at positions 355 to 1363 of the family's 1533-position model. The record is from RNAcentral.
UGGGGAAUUUUGGACAAUUGGGCGAAAGCCUGAUCCAGCAAUGCCGCGUGUGUGAAGAAGGCCUUCGGGUUGUAAAGCACUUUUGUCCGGAAAGAAAUCCUUGGCUCUAAUACAGUCGGGGGAUGACGGUACCGGAAGAAUAAGCACCGGCUAACUACGUGCCAGCAGCCGCGGUAAUACGUAGGGUGCAAGCGUUGAUCGGAAUUACUGGGCGUAAAGCGUGCGCAGGCGGUUUGCUAAGACCGAUGUGAAAUCCCCGGGCUCAACCUGGGAACUGCAUUGGUGACUGGCAGGCUAGAGUAUGGCAGAGGGGGGUAGAAUUCCACGUGUAGCAGUGAAAUGCGUAGAGAUGUGGAGGAAUACCGAUGGCGAAGGCAGCCCCCCUGGGCCAAUACUGACGCUCAUGCACGAAAGCGUGGGGAGCAAACAGGAUUAGAUACCCUGGUAGUCCACGCCCUAAACGAUGUCAACUAGUUGUUGGGGGAUUCAUUUUCCUUAGUAACGUAGCUAACGCGUGAAGUUGACCGCCUGGGGAGUACGGUCGCAAGAUUAAAACUCAAAGAAUUGACGGGGUCAUAGCUGUUUCCCU